RNAcentral lists this ribosomal RNA (462 nucleotides) under uncultured bacterium. RNAcentral describes it as "bacterial SSU rRNA". It matches the Rfam family "Bacterial small subunit ribosomal RNA", at positions 30 to 481 of the family's 1533-position model. The record is from RNAcentral.
AUUGAACGCUGGCGGCAUGCCUUACACAUGCAAGUCGAACGGCAGCACGGGAGCUUGCUCCUGGUGGCGAGUGGCGAACGGGUGAGUAAUACAUCGGAACGUACCCUGAAGUGGGGGAUAACGUAGCGAAAGUUACGCUAAUACCGCAUAUUCUGUGAGCAGGAAAGAGGGGGAUCGCAAGACCUCUUGCUUUAGGAGCGGCCGAUGUCGGAUUAGCUAGUUGGUGAGGUAAAGGCUCACCAAGGCGACGAUCCGUAUCGGGUCUGAGAGGAUGAUCCGCCACACUGGGACUGAGACACGGCCCAGACUCCUACGGGAGGCAGCAGUGGGGAAUUUUGGACAAUGGGCGCAAGCCUGAUCCAGCCAUGCCGCGUGAGUGAAGAAGGCCUCGGGUUGUAAGACUCUUCGUGGGGGUAAGGAAAUUAGGCUUCGGUUAAUACCUGGAGUAGAUGACGGUACCCG